CAAAGGCAGAGUUGAGUAUUCAUCUGGGAUGGCCUGCAAAAUCUGAGAUAGUUGCUGUCUGACCCUUUGCAGAGAGAAUUUACCAAUGUCUGAAAUGAAAUCAGCCCUCCGUAUCUGCAAGUUCCUCAUCUGUGGUUUCAACUAACCAUGGAUUGAAAAUAUGUGGGGAAAGAGAAACCAAAAAGUGACAACACAGCAAUAAAGCGUAAUCCACAUUUUAAGAACGCAGUGUAACAAUGAUCUACACAGCAUUUACAUUGCAUUAGGUACUGAACGACACCUGGGUCUCCUUCCCCUCCUGGUCUGAGGACUCCACCUUCGUCAGCUCCAAGAAGACACCAUACGAGGAGCAGCUUCACCGCUGUGAGGACGAGCGCUUCGAGUUAGACGUUGUCCUGGAGACGAACCUGGCCACAAUCCGCGUGUUGGAAAGCGUGCAGAAGAAGCUGUCUCGGAUGGCGCCGGAAGACCAGGAGAAGUUCCGGCUGGACGACUCCCUGGGAGGCACGUCGGAGGUGAUCCAGCGCCGUGCCAUUUAUCGCAUCUAUGGCGACAAGGCCCCGG
This 564-nucleotide small RNA is filed under the name Pongo abelii (Sumatran orangutan). RNAcentral describes it as "processed transcript". The record is from RNAcentral. Lineage: Eukaryota; Metazoa; Chordata; Mammalia; Primates; Hominidae.